Molecule: non-coding RNA, 30 nt
Filed under: Mus musculus (house mouse)
Lineage: Eukaryota; Metazoa; Chordata; Mammalia; Rodentia; Muridae
Source: RNAcentral
UAAUUGGUUGUUAAACACCCAGUGGUUAGC